GUGAGGAAUAUUGGACAAUGGGCGCAAGCCUGAUCCAGCCAUGCCGCGUGCAGGAAGACGCAUCUAUGGUGUGUAAACUGCUUUUGUACGGGAAGAAACACUCCCUCGUGAGGGAGCUUGACGGUACCGUAAGAAUAAGGAUCGGCUAACUCCGUGCCAGCAGCCGCGGUAAUAUGGAGGAUCCAAGCGUUAUCCGGAAUCAUUGGGUUUAAAGGGUCCGUAGGCGGUUUAAUAAGUCAGUGGUGAAAGCCCAUCGCUCAACGAUGGAACGGCCAUUGAUACUGUUAGACUUGAAGUACAAGGAAGUAACUAGAAUAUGUAGUGUAGCGGUGAAAUGCUUAGAUAUUACAUGGAAUACCAAUUGCGAAGGCAGGUUACUACUUGUGGAUUGACGCUGAUGGACGAAAGCGUGGGGAGCGAACAGGAUUAGAAACCCGGGUAGUCC
RNAcentral lists this ribosomal RNA (445 nucleotides) under uncultured bacterium. Its description in RNAcentral is "partial 16S ribosomal RNA". It matches the Rfam family "Bacterial small subunit ribosomal RNA", at positions 354 to 796 of the family's 1533-position model. The record is from RNAcentral.